This 447-nucleotide ribosomal RNA is filed under the name uncultured Hyphomicrobiales bacterium. RNAcentral's name for it is "bacterial SSU rRNA". It matches the Rfam family "Bacterial small subunit ribosomal RNA", at positions 29 to 523 of the family's 1533-position model. Lineage: Bacteria; Pseudomonadati; Pseudomonadota; Alphaproteobacteria; Hyphomicrobiales. The record is from RNAcentral.
AACGAACGCUGGCGGCAGGCUUAACACAUGCAAGUCGAGCGCCCCGCAAGGGGAGCGGCAGACGGGUGAGUAACGCGUGGGAAUCUACCCAUCUCUACGGAAUAACGCAUGGAAACGUGUGCUAAUACCGUAUACGUCCUUCGGGAGAAAGAUUUAUCGGAGAUGGAUGAGCCCGCGUUGGAUUAGCUAGUUGGUGGGGUAAAGGCCUACCAAGGCGACGAUCCAUAGCUGGUCUGAGAGGAUGAUCAGCCACACUGGGACUGAGACACGGCCCAGACUCCUACGGGAGGCAGCAGUGGGGAAUAUUGGACAAUGGGCGCAAGCCUGAUCCAGCUAUGCCGCGUGAGUGAUGAAGGCCCUAGGGUUGUAAAGCUCUUUCACCGGUGAAGAUAAUGACGGUAACCGGAGAAGAAGCCCCGGCUAACUUCGUGCCAGCCGCCGCGGUAA